CUUGAAGUUAUUCGACUGGAAGGCCAUUCUCUUUUGCAAGAGGAUGCUUUUGUUUCAAGGGACAUUCAUCUCUUACAGAUAUGCUGUGGAAUUGAUGAAAAUGCUGUUGGUGCUUGCUCGGAACUUGUUUUUGCUCCAAUUGAUGAAAUGUUUCCUGAUGAUGCUCCACUAUUGCCUUCUGGUUUCCGCGUCAUUCCUUUGGAUUCAAAAACAAAGGAUGCCCCGGAUGUGAUGAAUACAUCUCGCACCCUGGAUCUCACAUCUAGUCUUGAAGUGGGUCCUGCAACAAAUCAUGCUGCUGGAGAUGUGUCAUCAUCUCAUAGUACACGAUCAGUCUUGACUAUUGCCUUUCAGUUCCCUUUUGAGA
RNAcentral lists this unclassified non-coding RNA (367 nucleotides) under Hevea brasiliensis (rubber tree). Lineage: Eukaryota; Viridiplantae; Streptophyta; Magnoliopsida; Malpighiales; Euphorbiaceae. The record is from RNAcentral.